GUCGAGCGGGAGUGGAGCUUCGGUUCCACUCCAGCGGCGCACGGGUGAGUAACACGUGGGUAACCUACCUCCAGGUCUGGGAUAACCUCGGGAAACUGGGGCUAAUACCGGAUGAGACCACGAGGUCCUCGGACUUCGCGGGAAAAGAUGGCCUCUGCUUGCAAGCUAUCACCAGGAGAUGAGCCCGCGCCCCAUUAGCUAGUUGGCGGGGUAACGGCCCACCAAGGCUACGAUGGGUAGCUGGUCUGAGAGGACGACCAGCCACACUGGAACUGAGACACGGUCCAGACUCCUACGGGAGGCAGCAGUCGGGAAUUUUGGGCAAUGGGCGAAAGCCUGACCCAGCAACGCCGCGUGAGGGAUGAAGGCCUUCGGGUCGUAAACCUCUGUCGGGAGGGACGAAAGGUAGACGGGUGAAUAACCCGGGUGCUUGACGGUACCUCCAAAGGAAGCGCCGGCUAACUCCGUGCCAGCAGCCGCGGUAAUACGGAGGGCGCAAGCGUUGUUCGGAAUCACUGGGCGUAAAGCGCGUGCAGGCGGCUUGGUAAGUCGGGUGUGAAAUCCCGGAGCUCAACUCCGGAACUGCACCCGAUACUGCCUCGCUAGAGUCUCGGAGAGGAUGGCGGAAUUUCCGGUGUAGAGGUGAAAUUCGUAGAUAUCGGAAGGAACACCAGCGGCGAAGGCGGCCAUCUGGACGAUGACUGACGCUCAGACGCGAAAGCGUGGGGAGCAAACAGG
RNAcentral lists this ribosomal RNA (738 nucleotides) under uncultured Pseudomonadota bacterium. Its description in RNAcentral is "bacterial SSU rRNA". It matches the Rfam family "Bacterial small subunit ribosomal RNA", at positions 61 to 776 of the family's 1533-position model. Lineage: Bacteria; Pseudomonadati; Pseudomonadota. The record is from RNAcentral.